GGGCUCUCAGAUUCUCUGGGGAAGUUAAUGACCAAGCACUCCAAAUGAAUAUUGUUGACUGUGACAAAUUGCUUUUUUCAGUUUUUUCAUUGUUACAAAAUCUUGGCGCUGAUGAAAGACCAGAGGUUAGGAACUCUGCUGUUCGGACACUAUUUCAAAUUCUUGGAAGCCAUGGGCAAAAGCUAUCAAAGAGUAUGUGGGAGGAUUGUCUAUGGAAUUAUAUUUUCCCUACACUAGAUCGCUCUUCUCACAUGGCUGCAACAUCUUCAAAGACAGAAUGGCAAGGAAAAGAACUAGGGACACGUGGAGGGAAAGCAGUUCAUAUGCUUAUACAUCAUAGUCGUAACACAGCUCAGAAACAAUGGGAUGAGACACUUGUGCUUGUACUUGGGGGCAUAGCUCGAAUUCUACGCUCUUUUUUCCCUUUUUUGAGAAGCUUAGACAAUUUCCAGUCUGGAUGGGAAACUUUGCUUCUCUUUGUAAGAAACAGCAUAUUUAAUGGUAGUAAAGAAGUUGCUCUUGCAGCUGUGAAUUGCUUACAGUCUACCAUAGUUUCUCAUUCCCCAAAGGGAAAUUUGCCUAUGCCUUAUCUUACUUCGGUGCUUGAUGUCUAUGAGCUUGUGCUGCACAAGUCACCAAACUACAACGGGAAUAUGGCAUACAAGUUGAAGCAGGAGAUCUUACACGGUCUUGGUGAAUUGUAUGUUCAAGCACAGGGGAUGUUUGAUAAUGACACGUACCUAAAGCUGCUGUCGGUUGUAGAUUCAGGGAUUAAACAAGCUGAGGUCGACAAUAGUAACUUUGAAGCUGAAUAUGGUCAUGUUUCACCUGUGCAACGUACUGCACUGGAAAUACUUCCGCAAUUGCAUCCUGCAGAGCACCUUUCUGCCAUGUGGUCACCGCUGCUUACCAAAUUAUUGUUGUAUCUUCCCAGCUCUGUUUCCUGUAUGAGAAGCAUUGAAGACGAGAGCGACCACAAGACCAGAACCAAAGAUAAUGCUAAGAUCAGUAAUGGAAUUGCUUCAGCAUCCCAAGGGGAAGAAGAAGCUUCACCUAGGAAUCCUGAGUUAACAACAGUGAUUGUCUCAAAUCAUCUUUUCGUGGAAAAACUUGUCCCUGUUUUAGUGGAUCUCUUCUUGCAGGCUCCACCUGCAGAGAAGUACAAAAUUUUACCUGAUAUUAUACAAUCUUUGGGAAGAUGUAUGAUAACAAGAAGAGACAAUCCUGAUGGCUCACUUUGGAGACUAGCUGUUGAAGGUUUCAGUUGCAUUCUGCUUGAUGAUAUUAGAAAACUGACUGGGAAUGCAGUGCCUGAGUUGACUAUUACCAGACCUGCAAGAAUGCGUAUCUGGAAAGAAGUUGCUGACAUUUUUGAGAUAUUUCUAAUAGGCUACUGUGGUCGUGCACUUUCAGUGAUGGUGGACAGUGCUGAUGAAUGUCUCGAGAUGAAUCUCCUGGAUAUUCUAGGAGACAAG
Molecule: unclassified non-coding RNA, 1475 nt
Filed under: Hevea brasiliensis (rubber tree)
Lineage: Eukaryota; Viridiplantae; Streptophyta; Magnoliopsida; Malpighiales; Euphorbiaceae
Source: RNAcentral